GAUUCCUCUCUCUCUAGAACAGAAACAUUGCCCUAAUUUGGUGGUGUUUUCUUGUUCCUGGAGUCAAGAGCUACGAAACCAUCUGAUUGGUUUUGCAUUCCAGCGGGUUCUGUACAGUUUCGCACGGUGUAGGGGUACUAUUAGAGCAUUUGUGAACUGUGUUGAGCAACCCAUCAGAAGAGAAUGAGGCCUCAGUGGAGAAUGUCCUGGAGGGGAAUGAGGAAGCAACUUCUUAGUCUCUCUAGGAAUUCCAUAGCUUUCCAUGUAUCUUAACAAUUCCAGUUCUUGUAUUUUGAAGUACUUUAGUAUUCCACGUUUUAAAAUUUCUUCUACAUUCCGGAUUACUGUAAUCCUUAAAUUUUAAUUUCUUAGAACCUUAUUUGCUAUUUUAUUAUUCUAACUGUUUUCUAUUAUCAUCUAUGUUGACG
This 428-nucleotide small RNA is filed under the name Vigna angularis var. angularis. RNAcentral's name for it is "Non-protein coding transcript". The record is from RNAcentral. Lineage: Eukaryota; Viridiplantae; Streptophyta; Magnoliopsida; Fabales; Fabaceae.